RNAcentral lists this ribosomal RNA (253 nucleotides) under uncultured bacterium. RNAcentral describes it as "partial 16S ribosomal RNA". It matches the Rfam family "Bacterial small subunit ribosomal RNA", at positions 524 to 776 of the family's 1533-position model. The record is from RNAcentral.
UACGUAGGGUGCAAGCGUUGUCCGGAAUUAUUGGGCGUAAAGAGCUCGUAGGCGGUCUGUCGCGUCUGCUGUGAAAACUCGGGGCUUAACUCCGGGCCUGCAGUGGGUACGGGCAGACUAGAGUGCGGUAGGGGAGACUGGAAUUCCUGGUGUAGCGGUGAAAUGCGCAGAUAUCAGGAGGAACACCGGUGGCGAAGGCGGGUCUCUGGGCCGUAACUGACGCUGAGGAGCGAAAGCGUGGGGAGCGAACAGG